UGCAAGUCGAGCGGCAGCACGGGUACUUGUACCUGGUGGCGAGCGGCGGACGGGUGAGUAAUGCCUAGGAAUCUGCCUGGUAGUGGGGGAUAACGCUCGGAAACGGACGCUAAUACCGCAUACGUCCUACGGGAGAAAGCAGGGGACCUUCGGGCCUUGCGCUAUCAGAUGAGCCUAGGUCGGAUUAGCUAGUUGGUGAGGUAAUGGCUCACCAAGGCGACGAUCCGUAACUGGUCUGAGAGGAUGAUCAGUCACACUGGAACUGAGACACGGUCCAGACUCCUACGGGAGGCAGCAGUGGGGAAUAUUGGACAAUGGGCGAAAGCCUGAUCCAGCCAUGCCGCGUGUGUGAAGAAGGUCUUCGGAUUGUAAAGCACUUUAAGUUGGGAGGAAGGGCAGUUACCUAAUACGUAUCUGUUUUGACGUUACCGACAGAAUAAGCACCGGCUAACUCUGUGCCAGCAGCCGCGGUAAUACAGAGGGUGCAAGCGUUAAUCGGAAUUACUGGGCGUAAAGCGCGCGUAGGUGGUUCGUUAAGUUGGAUGUGAAAUCCCCGGGCUCAACCUGGGAACUGCAUUCAAAACUGACGAGCUAGAGUAUGGUAGAGGGUGGUGGAAUUUCCUGUGUAGCGGUGAAAUGCGUAGAUAUAGGAAGGAACACCAGUGGCGAAGGCGACCACCUGGACUGAUACUGACACUGAGGUGCGAAAGCGUGGGGGAGCAAACAGGAUUAGAUACCCUGGUAGUCCACGCCGUAAACGAUGUCAACUAGCCGUUGGGAGCCUUGAGCUCUUUAUGGCGCACCUAACGCAUUAAUUUGACCGCCUGGGGAGUACGGCCGCACGGUUAAAACUCAAAUGAAUUGACGGGGGCCCGCACAAACCGGUGGAGCAUGUGGUUUAAUUCCAAACAA
Molecule: ribosomal RNA, 912 nt
Filed under: Pseudomonas fluorescens
Lineage: Bacteria; Pseudomonadati; Pseudomonadota; Gammaproteobacteria; Pseudomonadales; Pseudomonadaceae
Also listed under: 1 other name
Description: bacterial SSU rRNA
Rfam family: Bacterial small subunit ribosomal RNA
Source: RNAcentral